CACCUCGGCUAAUUUUACCCCUCGUGACCUAAUACUGUCCAAUAGAAACUCGAUGCAGUCGCCAUCACUAACUGGGAGGCAGUGGGAAAAAACUCUUGUCCUUCGACAUCGCGACUUGAAAGCUUCUAGCCAUGAUACAAAUAUAGUUAAUUUUUUAAAGAACUGGCCUUUAUAUUCGCAUGCUAAUGCCAAAGACUUGAUUGACAUUGAUUUUCGCUUGCUAUUUCCUGGAAAAGUUUGCUAUAUAGUAAAUGGGCGGAUUUUAAAAGAAGAUAAAAUCAUUUUAUAGAACAAAUAUAAAUGAUAAAUCCUGCAAAUUAUUAUUCUCAUCUUUAAAUGACAAAUCUGAAACAAAUGUUGAAGAUUAUAUCUUGGCCACAUUAUUAAACUCGAUUAUUCUACCAACUAGUCGGUUUCCAGUAGAAGUUUAGUUUCCAGUAGAUAGUUUUAGUUUUUUAGAGAGUUCAAUCUCGUUUUGAUUAUUUUUUAGACUGAUGUUAUAAUAGGUUUACGUUAUUUUUGUAUAUGCAAAAUUUUUAAAAUAUAUAUUUUUGUUAUAAAUUUAA
Diabrotica virgifera virgifera (western corn rootworm) is the source of this 566-nucleotide long non-coding RNA. RefSeq lists it as uncharacterized. NCBI's taxonomy places the organism in Eukaryota, Metazoa, Arthropoda, Insecta, Coleoptera, Chrysomelidae. The transcript has 3 exons. The record is from RefSeq and is a predicted model, not a curated record.